GGCGGUUGCUGGGAGCCUCGUGCUGGUUGGUGCCGGGGCUGCAGUGGCCUGGAAAGUCGUGAAGGGAAGGCAGGGGGGCAGGGGCCCCGCCAGGGCUGGACGGUGCCAAGGGACUGGAGACGGGCAGGUCUGUCACUCCUCCGAGCAGCCAGAGUCUACGGCGCCCUCCCACAGACAGAACGCAACCAGGGAAGGGGGAGCCCUUGAGAAGAAAGGGAGAGGAGGAGGAGGAGGAAGAUGCUACAGGGAGAGAGGCGACGGGGAACAAUUCACAGAGGAAAACAUCUACGCCAACAUCUAAGGCCAGAGAGGGGGACAGGGUCACUGCAGGGAGUGAGCUAAAGAGAGACUGGUGUUAGCGGUGGGAUAGCCAGUCUGCCUUGUGGCUAAGAUGCUAGCCUGGGACACCGGACGCCUGGGUCCUAUUCUCAGCUCUGCUAUGGAAUGCUUGUGUGACCCUGGGCAAGUCCCCGCCCCCCUCUGUGCCUCAGUUUCUCAGCUGUAACAUGGGGAGUAUAUCACUGCAUUUGGCU
Long non-coding RNA from Terrapene triunguis (Three-toed box turtle), 533 nucleotides. RefSeq lists it as uncharacterized. NCBI's taxonomy places the organism in Eukaryota, Metazoa, Chordata, Testudines, Emydidae. The record is from RefSeq and is a predicted model, not a curated record. The transcript has 3 exons.